RNAcentral lists this ribosomal RNA (254 nucleotides) under uncultured bacterium. RNAcentral describes it as "partial 16S ribosomal RNA". It matches the Rfam family "Bacterial small subunit ribosomal RNA", at positions 524 to 776 of the family's 1533-position model. The record is from RNAcentral.
UACGGGGGGGGCAAGCGUUGUUCGGAAUUACUGGGCGUAAAGGGCUCGUAGGCGGCCAACUAAGUCAGACGUGAAAUCCCUCGGCUUAACCGGGGAACUGCGUCUGAUACUGGAUGGCUUGAAUCCGGGAGAGGGAUGCGGAAUUCCAGGUGUAGCGGUGAAAUGCGUAGAUAUCUGGAGGAACACCGGUGGCGAAGGCGGCAUCCUGGACCGGUAUUGACGCUGAGUGAGCGAAAGCCAGGGGAGCAAACGGG